Long non-coding RNA from Arabidopsis thaliana (thale cress), 289 nucleotides. RefSeq annotates it as other RNA. The transcript has 2 exons. Lineage: Eukaryota; Viridiplantae; Streptophyta; Magnoliopsida; Brassicales; Brassicaceae. The record is from RefSeq.
UAGGGUUCCCAAGCUGCCCAUUUUUUUUUUUAAACUGUUCCCCAAACACCCAUCCAAUAAGAAAGGUCUACUUUGUAGCUCAAAGCUAUUAGAGUUGUGCUCGCGUCUUGGUUUUACUGUUUUAGUUACCCCAUCGAUGGUCUAGAAUAUGCGAGGUGACUCUCAUGGAGGUAAAGAAGACAGAAACAGGUUUUGAAAGAGAGCCAAGUGUGUGUUUAUGGUAGAAAGAGCAAAGUAGACGAAAGGUGUACCUUUUUGACUUCUUGUCACUGAUUCUCUCUCACUCAUC